ACGCUCGACACCUACGGGAGGCNGCAGUGGGGGAUAUUGCACAAUGGGGGGAACCCUGAUGCAGCGACGCCGCGUGAGGGAAGAAGGUUUUCGGAUUGGUAAACCUCUGUCCUCAGGGAAGAAGAUGACGGUACCUGAGGAGGAAGCCACGGCUAACUACGUGCUAGCAGCCGCGGUAAUCUGAGCGGGCUGGCAAGGC
RNAcentral lists this ribosomal RNA (199 nucleotides) under uncultured bacterium. RNAcentral's name for it is "partial 16S ribosomal RNA". It matches the Rfam family "Bacterial small subunit ribosomal RNA", at positions 328 to 539 of the family's 1533-position model. The record is from RNAcentral.